Molecule: ribosomal RNA, 864 nt
Filed under: uncultured bacterium
Lineage: Bacteria
Description: bacterial SSU rRNA
Rfam family: Bacterial small subunit ribosomal RNA
Source: RNAcentral
UACGAGGGGUGCAAGCGUUAUUCGGAAUUAUUGGGCGUAAAGGGUGCGUAGGCGGCGUACUAAGUCAACUGUUAAAUUCCUCGGCCUAACCGAGGCUCUGCAGUAGAUACUGAUAUGCUAGAGGGGGGAAGAGAGAAGUGGAAUUCUCGGAGUAGCGGUAAAAUGCGUAGAUCUCGAGAGGAACACCAAUGGCGAAGGCAGCUUCUUGGUCCACACCUGACGCUGAGGCACGAAAGCGUGGGGAGCAAACAGGAUUAGAUACCCUGGUAGUCCACGCCGUAAACGAUGAUCACUAGACGUUAGUUUUGCAUUGCAAAAUUGGUGUCGUAGCUAACGCGUUAAGUGAUCCGCCUGGGGAGUAUGGUCGCAAGACUAAAACUCAAAGGAAUUGACGGGGGUCCGCACAAGCGGUGGAACAUGUGGUUUAAUUCGACACUACGCGAGGAACCUUACCUAGGCUUGACAUGUUUUUGACAGUUGUAGAAAUACAAUCUUCCGGGCUUCGGUUCGGACGAUUACACAGGUGCUGCAUGGCUGCCGUCAGCUCGUGUCGUGAGAUGUUUGGUUAAGUCCUCUAACGAGCGCAACUCCUGUCGUCAGUUGCUACUUCUAACGAAGGCACUCUGACGAGACUGCCUGGGAAACCAGGAGGAAGGUGGGAAUGACGUCAAGUCCUCAUGGUCCUUAUGCCUAGGGCUACACACGUGUUACAAUGGCUAGUACAGAGGGUUGCAAAGUCGUAAGAUGAAGCUAAUCCCAGAAAACUAGUCUAAGUUCGGAUUGAGGUCUGCAACUCGACCUCAUGAAGUUGAAAUCGCUAGUAAUCGCAUAUCAGAACGAUGCGGUGAAUACGUUCUCGGACCU